CCGCCCGUAGCUCAGUUGGUAGAAGCGCGGAGCUUAUACCUCCGUGGUCGUUGGUUCGAGUCCAACCGGGCGGACAA
RNAcentral lists this transfer RNA (77 nucleotides) under bacterium. Its description in RNAcentral is "tRNA-Ile". It matches the Rfam family "tRNA". Rfam says of the family: Transfer RNA (tRNA) molecules are approximately 80 nucleotides in length. Their secondary structure includes four short double-helical elements and three loops (D, anti-codon, and T loops). Further hydrogen bonds mediate the characteristic L-shaped molecular structure. tRNAs have two regions of fundamental functional importance: the anti-codon, which is responsible for specific mRNA codon recognition, and the 3' end, to which the tRNAs corresponding amino acid is attached (by aminoacyl-tRNA synthetases). tRNAs cope with the degeneracy of the genetic code in two manners: having more than one tRNA (with a specific anti-codon) for a particular amino acid; and 'wobble' base-pairing, i.e. permitting non-standard base-pairing at the 3rd anti-codon position. The record is from RNAcentral.